GGAGUUUGGUGGAGUGUGGGGAGGUUUUUUGGGGUGAGGGAGGGGCACUGCCGGAGGAGUGCAGGAUUAGUGAGGUCCGGGCCAAGCGGGUGAGAUUCGGUGGCGUGGAAGUGGAAAAUUGGGGUGGUGUUCUUUUGGGGGAUUGGUUCGUGUGGCUUAGAAGGUUGACUUACCGCGGUGGCGAUGCUGGAGGCUACAGAAGAUGGGAGUGAUUCAAGGCUUGCCUCGUCAGGAAGAGAGGAGUCUCCUGCAGCGACUAGCAAGCCAAAUGUUGAUGAUCGGUUGGUCUACAAGCUGGUCAAGGUUGGAGACGAUGGGUCAGUUCUUCCAGCUACUGAGGACGAAGUUUUUCAGUCUUUGGUCAGUGGUUCGGGAAAUGGCCUUUCGUCUUUUGAUGCUGAUGAAAGUGGCGACGGUGAAGACGACGAAGAAGACGAGGAGGAAGAUGACGAGCGAACUGAGUACGAUACAGAUGAUGAACCAGAUGAGAGGGCUCGAAACAUCCCCUUCCAAGACCUUGCUGCACAAAGACAGAAGCUGAGAGCCCGGCUACAGGUGUUGGAUUCUAUGUUGUUACAAGUAGAUGCCGCGGAGCAAGAACGUAUGGCUGCGGAAAGGGAUGCAUCAGAGAAUGAUCUUGGUCACAAGGACAUUUUCUCUCCAUACUUCAGUGCUGCGGAUGGAAGUGGCGACAAGAGACAGCGUCGACCUAACCCCAAGUAUUUCGGUUUCGAAGCUGGGGAGGAUGGUGCUUCAGGACAACCAGCGCUGAGCUCGAGUAGUGGAGAGCCUAUUCUAACACCCACCAAAGAAGCUGCUGUUUCACCACGAGUGACAUCUGGGUGGGGAUCUCAUCGGAGCUCUGUGCGAUCGGCAAGCACACAUAGGGCUAGAAGUGCAGUUACACAGAAGCCCUUCACUAGAACCGGUACUAAAGUUGUUUCGCCAGUGUCAUUAGCCUCAGGGAUACGUUCUGCUGCUCAUGAGGAAGUCUCCCUGGAAAAUCUUUCCAUUCGUGAACUACACGAAGCAUUUCGCGCGACCUACGGACGCGACACAUCUGUGAAAGACAAGCACUGGCUGAAGCGUCAAAUUUCUGCUGGAUGGAUGGGACAGCGUGAGGCUGCUUUUAAGCCUCAGCCGCCUGUGUCAAGCAAAUUGAAAAUUAGGCUGGAAGAAGACGAUCAUGCUGAGCAACCCCUUCCUUCAGUCGGCCUUACUAGCGUGGGAGCUGUCGAGAGAGAUGCUGCCAAUGAAGCAAAAACAGGAGCUGAGUCUCUUAAGGAUUCGGCUUGGAAUAGCCUGGAGGGUAAAGGCUCUCAACAUGGAAUGACCACUUCAGCCAUUGUGUCUACAGGUGGUAGAUUUGAUGUCUUUAAUACUGGAAGCUUAAAUAGUUCAGAUGCCGCUCGUGGUCAGAUAGCCCUCUACGGCGAGGUAGUAAAUGCUGGAGAGCCAGUCGGUGGAAAAAGACAGCGAAAGCCUAAUCGCAGAUACAUUGAAGAUGAGACUGAAGGAUCUCCUGGUUUUAUUCCAACCAAUGAUAAUAGAUCAUUGUAUGGAGAGUCUGGAGGAAACGGAAUGGAUUCAUCUGCCAAUUUUACCUGGAGAACAGUGGAAACAGAUGGCCCAGCAGAUAUGAUUGGACGGCACGGCACUCUCAGAGGUCCCACAAUACGAAAUGCCUCAAAUAAAAAUGUGUCCGCAGCUCAGCGGCCAAAAAUAGUCGGUGGUAUUGCGAAGCGGAAGCUCGAAGGUAGAGCCUCAACACUGGUUAAAAUGGCUGACCCCGCUCGACCUACGCGGCAAGAUACAGAAGGCAAAGUUCGCAAGGAUGGCUUAUCUGAGUCGAAUGGAGGAGCUGGGGAUCGAGUGUCGGUUUUAAUGCCAAUCGUGCCAUUCGAUCCUUCAGCAAUUUUACAACCCUUGCCUCUAGAUAGCAGGCCAGAGAAUGACCUGCCCAUUGCAACCGUUCCAACUGCUAAUGGGGGAACAAGGCGUAAACAUCACAGACCCUGGACUUUGCGGGAAGUCAUGACGUUAGUUGAGGGUGUUGCACGGUGUGGUGGGGGCAAAUGGGCCGAUAUCAAGAAGCUAGCCUUUUCGAAUGUCGGGUAUAGAACUGCGGUUGAUUUGAAGGAUAAGUGGCGAAACCUCCUACGAGCCAGUCGGGCUCAGCUACAUCCAGCUAAGCAGGGUGAAAGGAAAAAACAGUUCACAGCAGCUAUCCCAGCUCCAAUACUAGCGCGUGUUCGUGAAUUGGCUGCCCUUCAGAAUCAGAUCUCCCCUACUGCGGGGACUGGUAGCAGCACCAUCCGCAGUGGGCGAACUGUACAUAGAAAGUAGCUGUAAUAUGCAUCUGCUGUGUCACUUCCUGAAUUUGAGUUAUUUCCAUUGUUGGCAGCACUUUUCAAUCUUUCUUUCCUCUGGCAUACCCACUACGACCAUAUGGAACUAGUGAUUUUUGAUCUGACAGACAAGUCUGACUGUCUGUCAGGUUCCGUAGAUUCUUCAUUAAACAAAGAUUCCUUGAGACAGCAACUGGGUUACCAACACGGAAUGGUCGAGUGGUCUCAGCCAGGGCCCUGUAAUAACUUCAAGGUUUGUAGGCUCCCAUUGACGUCAAGUCAUAUUGGAACCCGUGACAGUUCCUUCCGUAACAAUGCCUACAUACUGGUCAGCUUCUCUAAAUGAUUUUUAUGAUAUUUGGGUUACUGGGGAAAUGGUCACUGCGCAGCCUUAAAUCUAGUAUUAUGAUAAUCAUCUGUUAAUUGCACGUAUUUGGAGAGGAGCUGCCCACAUCUUGUUUUCUUUAAGAAUUGUUGCAUUCAGUGAUGUGGCUGCGCAUGCUUGACCUACACCAAGAUUGACGUCAGGCAGAUUUACAAUACAAUGCAGUGGUAAUUUUGAUAUCAGGGCAAGAACAUUACUCAAGUUUAUAAUAUGAUUUGGUGACUAUCAAUAUGUUGAUCGAAUUCAGAACCAGUUCAUGUAAUAUUAUCACAACCUGAUAUUUGUUUCAAUUCGGA
Molecule: non-coding RNA, 3029 nt
Organism: Physcomitrium patens
Lineage: Eukaryota; Viridiplantae; Streptophyta; Bryopsida; Funariales; Funariaceae
Source: RefSeq, a predicted model, not a curated record